RNA transcript from Zingiber officinale, 3908 nucleotides. It is a transcript of the gene named phosphoenolpyruvate carboxylase 2-like, with no coding region annotated. The record is from RefSeq and is a predicted model, not a curated record. The transcript has 12 exons. Lineage: Eukaryota; Viridiplantae; Streptophyta; Magnoliopsida; Zingiberales; Zingiberaceae.
AUCCCAUCCGAUUCUAUUGGAUCUCCUUUCUACUUUCUGUAUAUCUACAAUAGCACUUGUUGAAAAUUGUCUUUGUAAUUUAUCUUCUUUCCGAAGCUGAAAUUGCAGUGUAAUCUUUGGGAGAGAAAUGUCACAGAAUACACUGGAGAGGCGCUCGUCGUCCAUCGAUGCGCAACUGAGGCUUCUGGCGCCGGCGAAGGUCUCCGAGGACGACAAGUUGGUGGAAUACGAUGCGCUUCUCGUGGAUAGCUUUCUCGACACCCUCCAAAGCUUGCACGGAGAAGAUCUCAGGGAAACGGUCCAAGAGUGCUAUGAGAUCUCUGCCAAGUACGAAGGGUCUGGUGAUAUUAACAUGCUGGAUGAGCUGGGAAAUAUGCUGAUGGGCCUGGACCCCGGAGACUCUAUCUUGGUCGCCGGCUCUUUCUCCCACAUGCUCAACCUGGGCAAUCUGGCUGAGGAGGUUCAGAUUGCACAUCGCAGGAGGAACAAGCUGAAGAAGGGAGACUUCGUUGAUGAGAGCAAUGCGACUACAGAGUCUGACAUCGAAGAGACGCUUAAAAGGCUAGUCGAGAAAUUGCACAGGUCACCGGAACAGGUCUUUGAUGCUUUGAAGAACCAAACUGUCGAUCUCGUUUUUACUGCACACCCAACCCAGUCAAUUCGAAGAUCCCUACUGCAGAAGCAUUCCAGGAUAAGGAAUUGCUUGACACAGCUCACAGCAAAGGACAUUACUUCUGAUGACCACCACGAGCUUGAUGAAGCUCUCCAGAGAGAGAUUCAGGCUGCGUUUCGGACUGACGAAAUUCGUCGAACGCAGCCGACUCCUCAGGAUGAGAUGCGUGCAGGAAUGAGCUACUUCCAUGAAACAAUUUGGAAAGGUGUGCCGAAAUUCUUACGGCGUGUUGAUACUGCUCUGAAGAACAUUGGAAUAAAAGAACGUGUUCCUUACAAUGCUCCACUCAUUCAAUUCUCCUCCUGGAUGGGUGGGGAUCGUGAUGGUAAUCCUAGAGUCACGCCGGAUGCCACAAGAGAUGUAUGCUUGUUGGCUCGCAUGAUAGCAGCAACCUUGUACUACUCUCAGAUAGAAGAUUUGAUGUUUGAGUUGUCAAUGUGGCGCUGCACGGAUGAACUUCGCAUUCAGGCAAAUGUUCUUCAUCGGUCAACAAGGAAAGAUGCCAAGCACUACAUAGAGUUCUGGAAACAGAUUCCUCCGAAUGAGCCAUAUCGUGUUAUACUUGGCGAUGUGCGAGACAAGCUGUAUAAUACACGGGAACAUUCCAGGCAAUUGCUGGCAAAUGGAACCUCAGAUAUAUCUGAGGAACUGACUUUCACUAAUGUUGAGCAGCUUCUGGAACCACUUGAGCUAUGUUAUAGGUCACUCUGCUCUUGUGGUGAUAGACCAAUCGCCGAUGGAAGCCUUCUUGACUUCCUGCGCCAAGUGUCUACCUUUGGCCUUUCUCUUGUGAGACUGGACAUCAGGCAAGAAUCUGAUAGGCAUACUGAUGUUCUUGAUUCCAUCACCAAUCAUCUUGGAAUUGGAUCGUACCGGGAUUGGUCAGAAGAAAAGCGUCAAGAGUGGUUGUUACAAGAACUUAGAGGCAAGCGUCCUCUGUUUGGUCCUGACCUCCCACAGACCGAGGAGAUUGCUGAUGUUUUACAGACAUUCCAUGUCCUAGCAGAGCUUCCUUCUGAUAGUUUUGGUGCCUAUAUCAUUUCAAUGGCAACUGCUCCUUCAGAUGUGCUUGCAGUGGAACUCUUGCAGCGUGAGUGCCAUGUGAAGGAACCACUAAGAGUUGUGCCGCUGUUUGAAAAGCUUCAAGAUCUCGAUGCAGCUCCUGCUGCUGUAGCACGCUUGUUCUCAAUAGAUUGGUACAUGAACAGGAUUAAUGGCAAGCAAGAAGUCAUGCUUGGUUAUUCUGAUUCAGGGAAGGAUGCUGGUCGACUCUCGGCGGCUUGGCAGUUAUAUAAAGCACAAGAGGAGCUAGUGAAGGUUGCCAAGCAAUAUGGUGUGAAAUUGACAAUGUUUCAUGGACGAGGUGGGACUGUUGGGAGAGGAGGUGGCCCGACUCAUCUUGCUAUCUUGUCCCAGCCACCGGAAACGAUCCAAGGAUCAUUUCGCGUGACAAUCCAAGGGGAAGUAAUUGAACAGUCGUUCGGCGAGGAGCAUUUAUGCUUCAGAACACUUCAACGUUUUACGGCGGCUACUCUUGAGCAUGGUAUGCACCCUCCUGUUUCACCUAAGCCAGAAUGGCGUGCACUGAUGGAUGAGAUGGCUAUAGUGGCCACAGAAGAGUAUCGCUCAAUAGUUUUCAAGGAACCACGUUUUGUGGAAUAUUUCCGACUAGCCACACCUGAAACAGAGUAUGGUAGGAUGAACAUAGGUAGUCGGCCAUCGAAGCGGAAGCCUAGUGGGGGAAUAGAAUCUCUUCGUGCAAUUCCAUGGAUUUUUGCUUGGACUCAGACAAGGUUUCACCUCCCUGUAUGGCUUGGCUUUGGUGCAGCUUUCAAGCAUGUACUACAGAAGGAUAUCAGAAACCUUCAGACGCUCAAGGAGAUGUACAAGGAGUGGCCCUUCUUUCGGGUCACAAUAGACUUGGUUGAGAUGGUCUUUGCCAAGGGAGAUCCAGGAAUAGCUGCUGUCUACGAUAAAUUGCUUGUUUCCAAGGAGUUACUGCCAUUUGGCGAACGACUAAGGGCUAAUUACGAAGAAACAAAAGGCCUUCUCCUUCAGGUUGCUGGCCACAGGGAUCUCCUUGAAGGUGAUCCUUACUUGAAGCAACGAUUAAGGCUGCGCCACGCUUACAUUACGACUCUAAAUGUUUGCCAAGCGUGUACGUUGAAGAGGAUGAGGGAUCCCAGCUUCAAUGUAAAUGUGAAGCCCCAUCUACAGAAGAAUCUCGAUCACUGCAGUCCAGCAGCAGAUUUGGUGAAGCUGAAUCCAACUAGUGAGUAUGCCCCUGGGCUGGAAGACACUCUCAUAUUAACGAUGAAGGGGAUUGCUGCAGGCAUUAGGAACACUGGCUAGACUCAUUCACUCUAUCUCUAGCACGCACGUCCGGACUUCGUUCUGUAAAACGUCCACAGAUUGUUGCCUUCUUUCUUCUAAAUAACAGAGAUUAGCUGCGGCCAAACUUAGCAUACCAAAUUUUCUGGAAUCGGUGAUUAUUCACUGCCAUUUGUGCAUAAUCCAAUUGGAAGCCAGGCCACCCACCAUCAGCAGCAUCACUGAUGCUCGUUGUGCAUGGCCGUCGCUUAUAAGUCAGAACAUUGCCUGCCACUGAAACCAUAUCUUCAAUCCCAAAGCGAACCCAUCCUCUUUGAUCUGCUUCGUAGUGUGAUGACACCUCAUGCAGAUCGUCAAUUCCGCACUCCUUUGUUUAUUCAUGAAGCUUCCAUGUCUACUGAAAGCUGCGACGACCUGGAACUCAUCGACGACGCGCUGCUCGCAGAGAUGCUGGAGUCGUCGUCUUGCUUCGACGACGAGGUGGCGGAUGAUGGCCGGCUCGGCGGCGUGAUUAGUUCUCUGGAAGCGGAGAUCCUCGGCCGGCCCGUCGUCGCCUCCUCGUCUGAUGAUUUGUUGGUCACGGACGACGGGAAAUCCACCACCUGGCCGGACGACGGCCGUCUGGUGCAGGAGGACAUCGUAUUGUGGGCCGCUGAUGAUUGUGAGAGCUCGGUGGGUUGGAGCUUGGAGGAUCCGCUGUGUGAUUGUGCGGAGGUGUGUGACUUGGGUUAGUGUUACGCGCAGCCGGCCGUCGGAGGAGUUCUAGAAGGAGAGUGUGCUGGUUUUAACUGCGGCGAUGCGGAUCAAGUGUUUGAUCGUCUGUGGCAAUGAACAUUAAAAAAUGACUAAUGGAUUUCUAUGUGCUUUCAAACUCUGGCUUUAAAAAUAAAUUACAUUUUAAUCA